UGAGGCUGAAAGCAGGAGAGGCCAGGGAGCAGGAAUCCUGUGAUGUCAUACAGACCCGCAGGUGGAGCAUACAGAGGGCGGGGCCAGAAGGCAGAGGGAGGAGGUCAGCACAGUUUACAAUGUGAAGGAAAGAAGCCAAGGUCGGGGCGUGUGGGUGUGUGGGUGUGGGAGAUGCAAAGCCUGGGUUUCUCUGGCCUUGGACAAGACCUCAGUAGCAAGACCAGUAAAAAUUCCUUUAUACAAUGUGGUGAGCAGAUUUUGUUCUUCUGUUUUCUGGAACAAGUGCAUAUUCAAGUUUCACUAAUUUUCCCAAUAAAGAUCCUCAAAGUCUCCCAUCCCCAACCUUCUGCCCUGCAAUCCAGAAUCAUGCAUUUCAGAGUAUUUGUAUGUGAAUAACCCAUAUUUUGGUCUUUUUACUUCCUCCGUUAUGAGAAGAUCUAUCUUUUUGGCGACUGCUGACAUAAAUAUGUAUCAAUUUGAAGGCACUGGGUUUUCAAAUAUUCCUUAACUUAUAGACCACGACUAUACAGUAAAACAUGACAUCACCAAGAAAUUAGGUAUAGUUCUGUUGAAUCCUGUUCCUAAGUUUCAGGUGUACAGCACAAUAAUUCAGUUGAAGCUGAUCGGUUUUAUGAAGACCAACACCCUCGAGAACUAACACCAAAAAAGGAUGUCCUUUUUACCAUAGGGGAUUGGAAUGCAAACGUAGGAAGUCAAGAGAUACCCAGAAUAAAAGGCAAGUUUGGCCCUGGAGUGCAAAAAGAAACAGGGCAAAGACUAACAGAGUUUUGUCAAGAGAACACGUUGGUCAUAGCAAGCACCCUUUUCCAACAACUCAAGAGACAACUCUACACAUGGACAUCACCAGAUGGUCAAUACUGACAUGAGAUUGAUUAUGUUCUUUGCAGUCAAAGAUGGGGAAGCUCCAUACAGUCAGCAAAAACAAGACCUGGAGCUGCCAGUUGCUCAGCUCAUAAGUUCCUUAUUGCAAAAUUCAGGCUGAAAUUGAAGAAAGUAGGAAAAACCAAUAGGCCAUUCAAGUAUGACCUAAAUCAAAUCACAGUGGAGGUGAUGAAUAGAUUCAAGGGAUUAGAACUGGGAAGCAGAGUUAUUGAAGAACUAAGGACAGAGGUUUGUAAUACUGUACAGGAGGCAGUGACCAAAACCUUUCCCAAGAGAAAGAAACACAAGAAGGGAAAAUGGUUGUCUGAGGAGGUUAUACAAAUAGCUAAGGAAAGAAGAGAAGUGAAAGAAAGGGAGAAAAGGAAAGAUAUACUCAGAGAUCAGAGUUCCAGAGAAUAGCAAAGAGAGAUAAGAAGGCCUUCCUCAAUGAACACUGUGAAGAAAUAGAGGAAAACAAUAGAAUGGAUAAAGACUAGAGAUCUCUUCAAGAAAAUUGGAGGUAUCAAGGGAAUAUCUCAUGCAAGGGUGGGCACCAUAGACAGAAAUGGUAAGGACCUUACAGAAGCAAAAGAGAUUAGGAAGAGGUGGCAAGAAUACAUGGAAGAACUAAACAAAAAGGUCUUAAUGAUCUGGAUAACCAUGAUGGUGUGGUCACUCACCUAGAACCAGACAUCCUGAAGUGUGAAGUCUGGUGGACUUAGGAAGCAUCACUUCAAACAACACUAGUGGAGCUGAGCUCUUUAAAAUCCUGAGAUGAUGCUUUCCAGCUGAGCUAUUUCAAAUACUAAAAGAUGAUGCUGUUAAAGUGCUGCAUUCAAUAUAUUAGCCAAUUUGGGAAACUCUGCAGGGUGACAGGACUGGAAAAGGUGUUCUCAUUCCAAUCCCAAAGAAGGGCAACGCCAAAUAAUGUUCAAGUGUGUUAAUUGCUUAGUUGUGUCUGAUUCUUUGCGACCCCACGGACUGUAGCCUGCCAGGCUCCUCUGUCCACAAAAUUUUUCAGGCGAGAAUACUAAAGUGAAUAUCCAUUCUCUUCUCCAGGGGAUUUUCCUGACCCAGGGAUCGAACCCCAGUCUUCUGCAUUGCAGGCAGAUCCUUUACCAUCUGAGGCACCAGGGAAGCCCCAAAAUGUUCAAACUACUGUACAACUGUGCUCAUUUCACAUGCUAGCAAAAUUAUGCUCAAAAUCCUUCAAGUUAGGCUUCAGCAGUACAUGAACUGAGAUAUUUCAGAUGUACAAGCUAGGUUUCAAAGAGCCAGAAGAACCAGAGAUCAAAUUGCCAACAUUUGUUGGAUCAUGGAGAAAGCAAAAGAGUUCCAGAAAAACAUCUACUUCUGCUUCGUUGACUAUGCUAAAGCCUUUGACGGUGUGGAUCACAAUAAACCAUGCAAAAUUCUUAAAGAGAUAGGAGUACCAGACCAUCUUACCUGUUUCCUGAGAAACCUGUAUGUGGACCAAGAAGCAGCAGUUAGAACCAGACAUGGAGCCACUGACUGGUUCCAAACUGGGAAAGGAGUUUGACAAGGCUGUAAAUUGUCACCCUGCUUAUUUAACUUACAUGCAGAGUAAAUCAUGCAAAAUGCCAGGCUGGAUGAAUCACAAUCUAGAACCAAGAUUGCCAGGAGAAAUAACAACCUCAGAUAUGCAGAUGAUACCACUCCAAUGGCAGAAAUCGAAGAGAAACUAAAGAGCCUCUUGAUGAGGGUGAAAGAGGAGAGUGGAAAAAGCUGACUGGAAACUCAAUAUUCGAAAAACUAAAAGCAUGGCAUCCAGUCCCAUCACUUCAUGGCAAAUAGAUGGAGAAAAAGUGGAAACAGUGACAUUUUAUUUUGGGGGACUUCAAAAUCAUUGUGAACAACAGUGACUGCAGUUAUGAAAUUUGAAGACGUUGGCUCCUUGGAAGAAAAGCUAUGACAAACUUAGACAGCGUAUUAAAAAGCAGAGACAUCACUUUGUUGACAAAAGUCUGUCUAGUCAAAGCUAUGGUUUUUUCAGUAGUCAUGUAUGGAUGUGAGAGUUGGACCAUAAAGAAGGCCAAAUCCUAAAGAACUGAUGCUUUUGAAUUGUGCUGUUGAAGACUCUUGAGAGUCCCUUGGACUGCAAGGAAAUCAAACCAGUCAAUGCUAAACAAAAUCAACCCUGAGUAUUCAUUGAAAGGACUCUUGCUGAAGCUCUAAUACUUUGGCAGCUGAUAUGAAGAGAUUCAUUGGAAAAGACCCUGAUGCUGGGAAAAACCGAAGACAAAAGAAGAAGAGGGCGGCAGAGAAUGAGAUGGUUAGAUAACAUCACUGACUCAAUGAACAUGAAUUUGAGCAAACUCUGGGAGGUAGUGGAGGACAGAGGAGCCUGGUGUGCUACAGUCCAUGGGGUUGCAAAGAGUUGGACAUGACUUACCUACUGAACAACAAUAGCAAAAUAUAUAUAUAUAUAUAUAAAAUACCUAUAUAUCCAUCUACCUAUUCUUCUUUAGAUUCUCUUUCCUUGUAAGUUAUAUAUAUCACAUCUGUAUCCAUUCAUCUGUCAAUGGACAUUUAGGUUGCUUCCAUGUCUUGGCUAUUGUAAACAGUGCUGCAAUGAACACUGGGGUGCAGGUAUCUUUUCUCUAGUUAUAUGCCCAGGAAUGGGAUUGGAGGAUCAUAUGGUAAUUCUACUUUAAGUUUUUUAAGGAACCUCCAUAUUGUUCUCCAUAAUGGUUGUACCAAGUUACUUUCCCACCACAGUGUAGGAGGGUUCCAUUUUUGCCACACCUCUCCAGCGUUUAUUAUUUGUAGACUUUCUGAUGAUGGCCAUUCUGGCUGGUGUGAGGUGAUACCUCACUGUACUUUUGAUUUGCACCUCUCUAAUAAUUAAUUCUGUCGAGCAUUUUUUCAUGUACCUAUUUGCCGUCUGUAUUUCUCCUUUGGAGAAACGUCUAUUUAGAUCUUCUGUCCAGUUUUUGAUUGGGUUGGUUGAUUUUUUAUAUUGAGCUGUAUAGGCUGUUUGGGUAUUUUGGAAAUUAAUCCCUCGUUGGUCACAUUAUUUACAAAUGGGAGAAAAUAUCAAUAUUUGCAAAUAUGACCAAUGAGGAAUUAGCUUCCAAAAUAUACAAACGGUCAUUGAUUUCCUAAAAAAGAUUUGAAACAAGUAAGGCAAAAUAUUAAGAUUUAAUAAACCUGGGUGUUCAGGCAAGGAUGUUUUUUAGUCUUUAUGUCUAAAUAUGUAACUGUUAAAAUAAAAUAAAAAUCAUUAAAUGGAUUUUUAUUAAAUGGAUUUAAAUCAGUAAAUGGAUUUUAAAAAAUAUUAAGUAUAGGAAGAAAAUCAGUUGUUACUUGCCCAAAGAACCAGAUAUAAUUAAUAAUACCUGAUUCCAUUAGAACUAGACAGAAUUAAAACUUAUUCUAUCAUCUCUAUAUGGAUUAUGAGAAUAAGAAGUUUGAUCCGAAGAGUAGCAUUCUAUAAUUGGCAGCAUGAGGGAUCUAGAGUACAUUUUACAUUGUUAUAAUUCAUAUUAAACAUUUCUAACACACAGAAAACAUAGAGUCAUACUUAUGGACUGACUUAAGUUCCACCAUUCUUUUCCCUCCUCAGAUGUAAUUAUUAUCUUAAAGUCAGUGCAUAUCAUUUCUCACCAUGUUUUGAGAAAUGUCCUUGUGAGAUAUCAUAAAAUAUUUAAAUCUGUCUAAUAACACAAUGAAUGUUUUUUUUUGGGAAUUCAAAGAUUCACUAAUAAUAUUCACUGGACUGUCAUAACUAUUCACAAAACACUUAAAGUUUUUAAAGGCCAAGGAUGCUUUCACAUUCUACUUGGUACCAAGGGCGGAAUCGGUGUGGUAUGUGUGAGUUACACCACGUGUGUUGAACAGAUGGGCAGUCAGAGGUGAAAACCUCCCUAAGUGUUCAGGACAUGGACAUUAGAGAAUUGGUACUUCUUUGUUUCAUCUUAGAGGAAAAAACCCCAGAAGUUCCUGUGUUGAAGGUAGAACUUAUUUGCUCUGCUUUAUCUAUCAUGGCCCUGUGUCUGUGCUGGUAUUUGUUCCAGGCUCCAAGAGUAGCAGUCUUUAAACUGGGGUUCUUAUAUUUCUGGGUACCCAGGCACAGAAAAUUGUAAGGGAAUCUAGAUGCCCAACACCUACCUGCACACUGACUGUAACAGUACUUACUGCUCUUACUCUUUCCCACCGCCCUCUCAUAAUAAUUUUCCUCUCACUUUACACAAGAAAGGCAUACAGCUUGCCUAUCCCAAGUAUAACUACAGUACUUUGACCUGAGUACUAAAGGAAAGGACAAUUCAAAACCUGCAUCCGUGAAGCCUUCUUUCAUUGCAGCGCUGUGUCUUCUUUGUCUCAUGUCUUAUUUCUGUUAAGGGCAAUGACCCUGAGACACUUUGCUCCCCAGGAAACAUCUGCAGUAUCUGUAGACAUUUUUGGUUGUCUCUGGGGUCGGAGAUGGGUGCUCCUGGCAUCUAGUGGGCAGAGGUGGGGGGAUGCUACACCAUACAUCUUACAUGGUACGGGACAGCCCCCUACAGUGAAGAAUUGUUGAACCUCAGAUGUCAAUAAUACUUGGAAAAAACACCAUUUGAAGCAACAUGGAUGGACCUUAAGAUGAUCGUACUAAGUGAAGUAAGUCAGACAAAGACAAAUAUCAUAUGAUACCACUUACAUUGUGGAAACUAAAAAAAUGAUACAAACGAACUUAUUUACAAUACAGAAUUAGACUAACAGACAUAGGAAACGAACGUAUGGUUACCAAAGGGUAAAGUGGUAGGGAGAGACAAAUUGGGAAUCUGGGAUUAACAGAUACAUACCACUAUAUAUAAAAUAAUAAGGAUCUACUGCAUAGUACAGGGAACUACAUUCAGUAUUUUAUAAUCUCUAAUGGAAAAGAAUCUGAACAAGAAUAUGUAUGUGUGUGUAUGUAACUGAAUCGCUCUGCUUUACACCUGAAACAUUGUAAAUCAACUAUUCAAUUAAAAAGGAUAACUAAUGCUUCAGGUUGACUGGGAACCUUGCGUUAAGGGUGAGGUGGCUCUUAUUAGAAAAAAAAGGAGCUUUGGCCUACCUUACAAUAUUCCAGAGUGAUGUAAUCUCUCCGUGGAGAAGCUGGGAUGCUGAAAAAUUUUCAUCUGAUGAUUUUGAUGCUUCCUUUCUGAUAGUGAUAAAGAAUGAAUAGCUCCUUGGCAUUGGCAAGAAAUACUGAUCGUAGUGGUGAUUUCAUUCAAGUGACAAACUCAAGGCAAGGUUCCAAUCCUUACCUGUUUCAAGAUUAGGAUAUGUAAUUUAUAAAACCAUGGAAAGAAACAGUAACUUGCGGCAAAGCAGUCUAAGCUAACAAAGACUCACUCGUAUCUCACCGGUACUUCACUUGCUUAGUUCGCAUGAUUUCGAGGCAGUGAAGGCAAAAGUCUCAACACUCAUUUCUGACUGAUCGACACCACAUUUUGUAGUAAAAGAAACACGUAUCCGGGGUAUUUUAAUAUAUAUUUUCUUAAACUUAUUCAGACUCAUAGGAGAAAUGUUUUAACUUCUACCAAAUAUUACUGGAUUGUAGGAAUACAUUUUUCUGCUUGGGUUCUGGUCUAUGAUAGACUGUUAUUUCUCGGCUCAUUUAUCUAUUAUCAUAUACUGACCAGAUUCACAUUAAUCUGAUGAAAAGAUCUUGUGAAUUCUGCUUUACAUAAUGCACACAGCAAUCAGGGAUAGGAUUUCUGUAAUACACUGAUGACCUAAUACUUUCUUUUCAUUUUGCUGUUGAUUUUCAUUAAGUAGAUUAAAUGGUGAUCUUAAAAGCAGAAAGCCACUUACGAAUAAAUACAAAACAAAAUGUUCC
Long non-coding RNA from Bos taurus (domestic cattle), 6709 nucleotides. Lineage: Eukaryota; Metazoa; Chordata; Mammalia; Artiodactyla; Bovidae. The record is from Ensembl.